UACGGAGGGGGCAAGCGUUAUUCGGAAUCAUUGGGCGUAAAGGGCGCGUAGGCGGUCAGGCAAGUCAGGGGUGAAAUCCCUCGGCUCAACCGAGGAAUUGCCUCUGAAACUGCCUGACUUGAGACCGGGAGAGGGUAGUGGAAUUCCGAGUGUAGCGGUGAAAUGCGUAGAUAUUCGGAGGAACACCAGUGGCGAAGGCGACUACCUGGACCGGUUCUGACGCUGAGGCGCGAAAGUGUGGGGAGCAAACAGG
Molecule: ribosomal RNA, 253 nt
Filed under: uncultured bacterium
Lineage: Bacteria
Description: partial 16S ribosomal RNA
Rfam family: Bacterial small subunit ribosomal RNA
Source: RNAcentral